AUGGAUGCAAGUGCUAGUAGAGGGAACGGGUCAGCUGAUCCGAGCGUUCUUCUGGAAAGACUGCAUCUAGAAGAUGACGAACUUGACAACUUAGUCUGGGAGGAUGAAGCAGAAGAACCUGAAGAGAAGCCCAAGUGGCUUGCGAUUGCUAGGGUUCUAACAGGGAAAUCCUUUGGCCAAGGUGCUCUGAUCGCGGAUAUGAAGGCCGCAUGGAACCCAGCACGUGAAGUGAUCUGGCGCAGAAUUAACUCCAACCUGUUCUCGGUGUAGUUCCAAUGUCUGGCAGAUUGGAACAAAGCAAUGCAUCAAGGACCAUGGGAUUUCAAGGGUAUGGCCCUUGUGAUUGCUGAGUAUGACGGGUUUAAAAACCCAGAAUCAGUGAAGCUUGAUAGGAUUGAAACCUGGUGUCAAAUCCACAAACUCCCGGAUAUGGUGCUGAAGCGAGAGAGAUUUGUGAAGUCCAUGGCUGAGCGUAUUGGUGAGGUAUUUAGAACUACAAAUAGUACUGCCUAA
RNAcentral lists this ribosomal RNA (513 nucleotides) under Triticum aestivum (bread wheat). RNAcentral's name for it is "partial small subunit ribosomal RNA". The record is from RNAcentral. Lineage: Eukaryota; Viridiplantae; Streptophyta; Magnoliopsida; Poales; Poaceae.